Molecule: regulatory RNA element, 117 nt
Organism: Dethiosulfatarculus sandiegensis
Lineage: Bacteria; Pseudomonadati; Thermodesulfobacteriota; Desulfarculia; Desulfarculales; Desulfarculaceae
Rfam family: ALIL pseudoknot
Source: Rfam
GGCUUUUUUCGCCCAGGCGGAGCUCGACCGCAUACCGAGGUGAUGGUGCGGUUUAUUGACGAGCAUCGUCAUAUCUGCGGGGUCGAGCCGAUCUGCGCUUUAUUGCCGAUCGCCCCG